UGGUCGUAGACCCGAAACCAGGUGAUCUACCCUUGGUCAGGUUGAAGUUCAGGUAACACUGAAUGGAGGACCGAACCGACUUACGUUGAAAAGUGAGCGGAUGAACUGAGGGUAGCGGAGAAAUUCCAAUCGAACCUGGAGAUAGCUGGUUCUCUCCGAAAUAGCUUUAGGGCUAGCCUCAAGUGAUGAUUAUUGGAGGUAGAGCACUGUUUGGACGAGGGGCCCCUCUCGGGUUACCGAAUUCAGACAAACUCCGAAUGCCAAUUAAUUUAACUUGGGAGUCAGAACAUGGGUGAUAAGGUCCGUGUUCGAAAGGGAAACAGCCCAGACCACCAGCUAAGGUCCCAAAAUAUAUGUUAAGUGGAAAAGGAUGUGGCGUUGCCCAGACAACUAGGAUGUUGGCUUAGAAGCAGCCAUCAUUUAAAGAGUGCGUAAUAGCUCACUAGUCGAGUGACACUGCGCCGAAAAUGUACCGGGGCUAAACAUAUUACCGAAGCUGUGGAUUGUCCUUUGGACAAUGGUAGGAGAGCGUUCUAAGGGCGUUGAAGCAUGAUCGUAAGGACAUGUGGAGCGCUUAGAAGUGAGAAUGCCGGUGUGAGUAGCGAAAGACGGGUGAGAAUCCCGUCCACCGAUUGACUAAGGUUUCCAGAGGAAGGCUCGUCCGCUCUGGGUUAGUCGGGUCCUAAGCUGAGGCCGACAGGCGUAGGCGAUGGAUAACAGGUUGAUAUUCCUGUACCACCUAUAAUCGUUUUA
This 753-nucleotide ribosomal RNA is filed under the name Staphylococcus aureus. Its description in RNAcentral is "partial 23S ribosomal RNA". It matches the Rfam family "Bacterial large subunit ribosomal RNA", at positions 704 to 1461 of the family's 2925-position model. The record is from RNAcentral. Lineage: Bacteria; Bacillati; Bacillota; Bacilli; Caryophanales; Staphylococcaceae.